This 384-nucleotide ribosomal RNA is filed under the name uncultured bacterium. RNAcentral's name for it is "bacterial SSU rRNA". It matches the Rfam family "Bacterial small subunit ribosomal RNA", at positions 30 to 416 of the family's 1533-position model. The record is from RNAcentral.
AUUGAACGCUGGCGGCAUGCCUUACACAUGCAAGUCGAACGGCAGCGGACCUUCGGGUGCCGGCGAGUGGCGAACGGGUGAGUAAUAUAUCGGAACGUACCUUUCAGUGGGGGAUAACGUAGCGAAAGUUACGCUAAUACCGCAUAUUCUGUGAGCAGGAAAGCAGGGGAUCGCAAGACCUUGCGCUGAUUGAGCGGCUGAUAUCAGAUUAGCUAGUUGGUGAGGUAAAGGCUCACCAAGGCGACGAUCUGUAGCGGGUCUGAGAGGAUGAUCCGCCACACUGGAACUGAGACACGGUCCAGACUCCUACGGGAGGCAGCAGUGGGGAAUUUUGGACAAUGGGCGCAAGCCUGAUCCAGCCAUGCCGCGUGAGUGAAGAAGGCC